GGAACUCAGUGAGAGAUCCAGAGGGAAUGAGUCCUCUGGAUAAGAGAAAGGCGCAUUCCACUGCCAGCUGUGACAGAGACAGGUGUGUGGCAGACAAUCUCCAGGGAAGAUGUCUCCAACUGCUUGGGCUUCAUCAUCCAAAGGUUCAACUAUGGGAUUUAUCUUUGACUCCAAGUAUCAUCAGGGUGGCAUAUGGUGAUGGAUUCUGCCAGAUCCGUGCUAUUUCACUGACUUGUUGGGUACCAGCCCUCCCAGCCUAAGACUAAGCUUGAUCACCCUUGAUCAAAUACAUCUCAUUUUUCAAAACCAACUUUAAAAUCUGUUCUGAGGGAAGCAUAUGCUACUCAUUCAUCUGAGAUCUAUUAUGAGAAACUUUUUUCUUUUUUGAGAAGGCUAAUGUGCCAUAGCAAAGAAGACAAAUUACAAAUUCAUUAGUUCAUUAGCG
RNAcentral lists this long non-coding RNA (445 nucleotides) under Pan troglodytes (chimpanzee). Its description in RNAcentral is "long non-coding RNA NONPTRT017913". Lineage: Eukaryota; Metazoa; Chordata; Mammalia; Primates; Hominidae. The record is from RNAcentral.